This 570-nucleotide ribosomal RNA is filed under the name uncultured bacterium. Its description in RNAcentral is "partial 16S ribosomal RNA". It matches the Rfam family "Bacterial small subunit ribosomal RNA", at positions 355 to 908 of the family's 1533-position model. The record is from RNAcentral.
UGGGGAAUUUUGGACAAUGGGCGAAAGCCUGAUCCAGCAAUGCCGCGUGUGUGAAGAAGGCCUUCGGGUUGUAAAGCACUUUUGUCCGGAAAGAAAUCCUUGGCUCUAAUACAGUCGGGGGAUGACGGUACCGGAAGAAUAAGCACCGGCUAACUACGUGCCAGCAGCCGCGGUAAUACGUAGGGUGCAAGCGUUAAUCGGAAUUACUGGGCGUAAAGCGUGCGCAGGCGGUUUGCUAAGACCGAUGUGAAAUCCCCGGGCUCAACCUGGGAACUGCAUUGGUGACUGGCAGGCUAGAGUAUGGCAGAGGGGGGUAGAAUUCCACGUGUAGCAGUGAAAUGCGUAGAGAUGUGGAGGAAUACCGAUGGCGAAGGCAGCCCCCUGGGCCAAAUACUGACGCUCAUGCACGAAAAGCGUGGGGAGCAAACAGGAUUAGAUACCCUGGUAGUCCACGCCCUAAAAACGAUGUCAACUAGUUGUUGGGGAUUCAUUUCCUUAGUGCGUAGCUAAACGCGUGAAAGUUACCGCCCUGGGGGAAGUUACGGUCGCAAAGAUUAAAAACUCAAAAUG